Molecule: ribosomal RNA, 512 nt
Filed under: uncultured bacterium
Lineage: Bacteria
Description: bacterial SSU rRNA
Rfam family: Bacterial small subunit ribosomal RNA
Source: RNAcentral
AACGAACGCUGGCGGCGUGCUUAACACGAUGCAAGUCGAACGCGAAAGGGACUUCGGUCCUGAGUAAAGUGGCGCACGGGUGAGUAACGCGUAGAUAACCUGUCUUCAUGUCUGGAAUAAUACGCCGAAAGGGGUACUAAUACCGGAUAUUCUUGCUUUUCAUAAGUUAUGCAAGCAAAGGUGGCCUCUGCAUAUGCUACUGCAUGAAGAGGGGUCUGCGUACCAUUAGCUAGUAGGUGGGGUAGUGGCCUACCUAGGCGACGAUGGUUAGCGGGUCUGAGAGGAUGAUCCGCCACACUGGCACUGGAACACGGGCCAGACUCCUACGGGAGGCAGCAGUGAGGAAUAUUGCGCAAUGGGGGAAACCCUGACGCAGCGACGCCGCGUGAGUGAAGGAAGGCCUUCGGGUCGUAAAGCUCUGUCAAGAGGAAAGAAGUGUACAAUGGCUAAUACCUGUUGUAUUUGACGGUACCUCUAAAGGAAGCACCGGCUAACUCCGUGCCAGCCGCUGC